Podarcis lilfordi (Lilford's wall lizard) is the source of this 74-nucleotide non-coding RNA. NCBI's taxonomy places the organism in Eukaryota, Metazoa, Chordata, Lepidosauria, Squamata, Lacertidae. The record is from the annotation of a GenBank genome assembly.
AAUCUCAUAGCUCAGUUGGUUAGAGUGUGGUGCUGAGAACGCCAAAGUUGCAGGUUCAAUCCCGUAUGGAAUAG